GUGGAUGUAGUUCAAAGGUAGAGCACCAGUUUGUGGCACUGGCUGUUGAGGGUUCGAGUCCCUUCAUUCACCCA
This 74-nucleotide transfer RNA is filed under the name Spirochaetes bacterium GWB1_27_13. RNAcentral's name for it is "tRNA-His". It matches the Rfam family "tRNA". From Rfam's summary of the family: Transfer RNA (tRNA) molecules are approximately 80 nucleotides in length. Their secondary structure includes four short double-helical elements and three loops (D, anti-codon, and T loops). RNAcentral also lists the same sequence under 1 other name. The record is from RNAcentral. Lineage: Bacteria; Pseudomonadati; Spirochaetota.